CAGAGUGGCAGGCAGUCAGGCACCCACUUCCUUCUGCUACUGCCUUCCUCUGGUCACACCUUCUUUGUAACAUUGCGGUUCUCUUUACAAGAAAUUGUUACCAAAGACGAGGACAAAAACGAUCACAUGCCCUGAGCAGCUGAUCUCCGUUUCCUGUAUCUGCAUGUAAGCCAAAAUACUGCCUUAUACAGAAACAGUGAGAUGAGGCCCCAGCAAACCAGUUCAAGGACUGAGGGCUUUGUCUUCAGACUGAACAUAAAGCUGACAGGAACAGAGUCAAAACUUUGGCUGGAGUUCAAGCUGACCUCGUUGCUCCGUGCAAAUAUUUGCCACUAGAUGGCGAUGGAGACCAUUACACAGACUGGAUUGGAUACUGUAAAGCCCUGAGGGUCCUGUACAGUAAAGAGAGCCCUUGUGGAAGAAUUUACUGUGAGGCUUUUGCUUUUAAUGCACCUUUUGAUGACGACAGAGUCCAAAGUGGAGACUGGACAAAAGAUUGAGUGAAAUGUAAACAGCGCCUGUGUUUAGUAUGUGAUGUUUUGAGCUCAGUGACUAAAAUGAACAUAUUUGAAUAAAUGAAUACCUUAAAGCAA
Molecule: long non-coding RNA, 593 nt
Organism: Micropterus salmoides (largemouth bass)
Lineage: Eukaryota; Metazoa; Chordata; Actinopteri; Centrarchiformes; Centrarchidae
Exons: 2
Source: RefSeq, a predicted model, not a curated record